RNAcentral lists this transfer RNA (88 nucleotides) under Synergistota bacterium. RNAcentral describes it as "Synergistetes bacterium (hot springs metagenome) tRNA-Leu". It matches the Rfam family "tRNA". From Rfam's summary of the family: Transfer RNA (tRNA) molecules are approximately 80 nucleotides in length. Their secondary structure includes four short double-helical elements and three loops (D, anti-codon, and T loops). Lineage: Bacteria; Thermotogati; Synergistota. The record is from RNAcentral.
GUCGGAGUGGCGGAACCUGGCAGACGCGCUGGACUCAGGAUCCAGUGGGCUUUCGCCCAUGCGGGUUCAAAUCCCGCCUCCGACACCU